Long non-coding RNA from Arabidopsis thaliana (thale cress), 336 nucleotides. RefSeq annotates it as other RNA. The record is from RefSeq. NCBI's taxonomy places the organism in Eukaryota, Viridiplantae, Streptophyta, Magnoliopsida, Brassicales, Brassicaceae. The transcript has a single exon.
AGAGCAUCCCUAGUGGUAGAGUCCCUCAUUAGGAAUUUUCAAUAUAUUAAUCAUACUUUUUGCAUAAUUCAAAGUUAAGGACUUCAUAAGGAGAUUCUUAUUUUUUCCUCCUCCAAUGGUAGAAUCAUCUCAUUAAGGAUUUUCAGAGAAACCUUAAAAGAUCAACACUUUUUCUCAGAGAAAAUAAAAACCAACAAAAUCAAGUCCAAGCAACUAUCUUCUAGACUCUGCGUUUCCAAUUCAUCCUCAGCCAUGUCUUUGGUGAUCUUGUUCUCCAUUUGAAGAUCAACAAGAAUCUAACCAUCCUUAGUUCGACCAAUCCCAUCAUUUCUUCUA